Long non-coding RNA from Panicum virgatum (switchgrass), 758 nucleotides. RefSeq lists it as uncharacterized. The transcript has 3 exons. Lineage: Eukaryota; Viridiplantae; Streptophyta; Magnoliopsida; Poales; Poaceae. The record is from RefSeq and is a predicted model, not a curated record.
UGGAAUAAUAGACCUUGUAUGUUUAGAUGGAAAAAUCAGGAAAGGUUGUAGCAAAAUGGGAUUCCUUUGCUGCCAAAGUUUUCAAUGAUAUCUGCUGCGAAGAAGUUCUUGCCCACAAUCGCCCUCAACAAUGUUUGAACAAUGUGGGAUAUGCAAAUCUGGUUCGGAAAUUUUAUGAACGAACCAAAAGGCCAUACACUGAAGGGCAAAUGAAGAACCGAUGGGAUGUACUGAAAAAAAAGUAUACACAAUGGAAGACCUUAAACUUGAGAGCCACCGGAUUGGGAAGGGAUCCCAAUACUAGUUGUAUUGUUGCUGAUGAUGAUUGGUGGAAGGAACAAGAAAAGGCCAUGCCAGGAUGUACUUCUAAUUUCAGAUUUUUACCAUUUGAGCAUGAGGACCAAAUGAGAAUAAUGUUUGAAGCUGUUAUAGUUACAAAUGAGACCUCUUAUGUUCCAACUGGGCAUGGCAAUGAUGAUGAAAUUGGGGAGGGUGAUGUUGCCGGUAAUGAUGUUGCUGGUAAUGAUGAUGGAGAGAUAGGGCAUGGGAGAACAGGAAGAAGCAUUAGUGUGUUUUUUUAUUGUCCUUAAGUUGGUUGUGUGAGACAUUUUCCUUGCAUCCUUAAGUUUGAUGUGUGUGAUACUGGAGUAUUUGUUUCAUAAGACAUUUAUCAGUUGUGUUGUACCAAUAAAAAUUUGGCUUGCUAAUUGUUACUUUUUACAGGCUUUCAUUAUCUAUGAGUUCUUCUAGCUGUUCUA